RNAcentral lists this unclassified non-coding RNA (393 nucleotides) under uncultured Acaulosporaceae. Its description in RNAcentral is "sequence contains ITS1". The stretch from base 1 to 104 matches the Rfam family "5.8S ribosomal RNA", at positions 50 to 154 of the family's 154-position model. Lineage: Eukaryota; Fungi; Glomeromycota; Glomeromycetes; Diversisporales; Acaulosporaceae. The record is from RNAcentral.
GAAAUGCGAUAAGUAAUGCGAAUUGCAGAAUUCAGUGAAUCAUCAAAUCUUCGAACGCAAAUUGCACUCUUGUGUUGAACGAGAGUAUGCCUCUUUCAGUAUCUGUUUUCUCUUUCUUCGUCUGCUUUAUUAUAUGUGUGUGUUGUGCUUGUUUGAUUAUGAGUACGACAACAGUUAUUAUUAUAGUAGAUGAGCGAAAUGAGCGAUCUCGAAUAAUAAGAGUCGCUUGAAGAAGUAUAAGAUAUAUAUAUAGAGAGAGAGUUGGUUUCAUAAGAUGGAAGUAAUAUGACUACUACUACUUAUGAAGCACAGUCUCACUGUUGUGUGUAUAUAUAUAUAUGAAGAAAACAAAAUCCAGAUCUGAGAUGAGGUAAGAGGACCCGCUGAAUUUAA